This 422-nucleotide ribosomal RNA is filed under the name uncultured bacterium. Its description in RNAcentral is "bacterial SSU rRNA". It matches the Rfam family "Bacterial small subunit ribosomal RNA", at positions 355 to 774 of the family's 1533-position model. The record is from RNAcentral.
UGAGGAAUAUUGGGCAAUGCCCGCAAGGGUGACCCAGCAACGCCGCGUGGAGGAUGAAUGUCGUAAGAUUGUAAACCCCUGUUAGAGGGGAAGAAUAGUACCGGUUGGACCGGUAUAUGACUGUACCCUCAGAGAAAGCCCCGGCUAACUACGUGCCAGCAGCCGCGGUAAUACGUAGGGGGCAAGCGUUGUCCGGAUUUACUGGGUGUAAAGGGCGCGCAGGCGGGAUAAAAAGUCAGUGGUGAAAUUCUACAGCUUAACUGUAGAACUGCCUUUGAUACUUUUAUUCUUGAGUUCGGGAGAGAGAGACGGAAUUCCAGGUGUAGUGGUGAAAUACGUAGAUAUCUGGAAGAACACCAGUUGCGAAGGCGGUCUCUUGGUCCGACACUGACGCUGAGGCGCGAAAGCGUGGGGAGCAAACA